AUACGGAGGGUCCAAGCGUUAUCCGGAUUCAUUGGGUUUAAAGGGUCCGCAGGCGGGAAAAUAAGUCAGUGGUGAAAGCCUACAGCUCAACUGUAGAACUGCCAUUGAUACUGUUUUUCUUGAGUAUAGAUGAAGUGGGCGGAAUAUAUCAUGUAGCGGUGAAAUGCAUAGAUAUGAUAUAGAACACCGAUUGCGAAGGCAGCUCACUAAACUAUUACUGACGCUCAGGGACGAAAGCGUGGGGAGCGAACAGGAUUAGAAACCCUGGUAGUCC
RNAcentral lists this ribosomal RNA (274 nucleotides) under uncultured bacterium. Its description in RNAcentral is "partial 16S ribosomal RNA". It matches the Rfam family "Bacterial small subunit ribosomal RNA", at positions 523 to 796 of the family's 1533-position model. The record is from RNAcentral.